RNAcentral lists this transfer RNA (95 nucleotides) under Dactylosporangium vinaceum subsp. matsuzakiense. RNAcentral describes it as "Dactylosporangium matsuzakiense tRNA-His". The record is from RNAcentral. Lineage: Bacteria; Bacillati; Actinomycetota; Actinomycetes; Micromonosporales; Micromonosporaceae.
GUGGCGCCGGACCGGCCUGUGGCGCCGGACCGGCCUGUGGCGCCGGACCGGCCUGCGGCGACGGCCGGGCCGGUACCGUCGCCGGCGCCGCAACG